UGGGGAUUAGCCAAGUCGGUAAGGCACAUGACUUUGACUCAUGUAUGCGUAGGUUC
This 56-nucleotide transfer RNA is filed under the name Clostridioides difficile CD3. RNAcentral's name for it is "partial tRNA-Gln". It matches the Rfam family "tRNA", at positions 1 to 54 of the family's 71-position model. From Rfam's summary of the family: Transfer RNA (tRNA) molecules are approximately 80 nucleotides in length. Their secondary structure includes four short double-helical elements and three loops (D, anti-codon, and T loops). Lineage: Bacteria; Bacillati; Bacillota; Clostridia; Peptostreptococcales; Peptostreptococcaceae. The record is from RNAcentral.